GGGCACAGCUGGAGGGGCCUGGAGGCGGGGAGGCAGCGGCCACCCCCGAGCCCCGGGCCAGACCCCAGGUGCUCCCUGGCUGAGGCUCCGUGGUGUCCUCCACCCGCCUGGCCCGUCACGCUUGGCGGUAGUCAGCUGGCGCCGGGCUCGGGGCCACUCUCAGACCUUAGUCCUGAAAGACGGGCGCUUGUCAACUGUGCCCCUGCCAGGCAGGGCGGGGUGGGCGCUGGGUCUGGCUCACAAAAGGGGGGGCAGCAAGGGGGGUCUUUGUGGGGGCCUGAGGCUGCCUGUGCCGUGAGCGCAGGACACGGGGGGGCCGCGAGCCGAGGCCGGUCAGCUGGAGGAACAGAUGGGGCAGGACGCAGCUCCUUGGCGGCCGCACCUGUCCACCUGCCGGCCAGGCUUUGGGGGAAGGACUCAGGGGCCCCAACAGCUAGUGCUGGUCACACAGGGCAGCUGUGGCCCCGCGUGGGGCUGAAGGCUGCAGGGCAUGUCUGCGCUGGGGGGUCAGGGAGCUGGGCCGAUCCUGGGAGGCGGGGGCGGCUGCGCUGCGUGCCCACCUUCUGGGGCAGACGUGCCCCUCUCAGCUGGCGGGGGGGGCCCCCAGGGCCGGGAGGGGAGCUGGAGGGGGCCGUCGGCCGGUGGGGUCGGAGCACUCCAGGCUCAUGUCCCCAUGGCCUUGCCUCUCUUGGUCACUCUGUGAAGCCGACCGUCCAGGAGGACAACAGACUUGUCACGCGGGGGAAGGGAAGGUUGCCGGGUAAGGUCCCCAACUCAAGGUGGGGGUGGCGGCGGCCCCGGGGUACGCUUCCUGGGAUGGAAGGGCCCAGCCCCAAGGCGGCGCCCUGCGGCCUCCCGGAACGCGGCAGCCACUGCCCACCGAGACCCACGGAGGCCGCGGCCUCGCCAUCCGCCGGCACCACCCCAGCCAGUGGGCAUCAGGUGCCCGCAGGCCCGGGCCACCCGGCGUGUGCUCAGAACAGGCCAGGGGCGGGGGGCGGGGUGCGGGGGGCGCCCGGGCCCACCCAGGUUCCCUCCGCCUGCUGCCCCAGCUGCUGGGCUCACCGCCCCCCUCCCCGCGGUCGCACAUCCACCCUCCCGCACAGCCCAGAGCCCCCCAGACCGACACCCAGCCUGCGGCAGGCACUCUGGGGACACCUGCACACAGAGGGGAGCCAGGCUCCUCAGCGGCCACCCUCCUCCUGCGUGUAUCGCAGCCCCGGCCCCCGUGCCCGGGUGUCUGCCCUGAGCUGA
Molecule: long non-coding RNA, 1254 nt
Filed under: Canis lupus familiaris (dog)
Lineage: Eukaryota; Metazoa; Chordata; Mammalia; Carnivora; Canidae
Description: lncRNA (ENSCAFG00040024630.1)
Source: RNAcentral